RNAcentral lists this long non-coding RNA (346 nucleotides) under Elaeis guineensis (African oil palm). RNAcentral's name for it is "long non-coding RNA (EGUI_LNC081671)". The record is from RNAcentral. Lineage: Eukaryota; Viridiplantae; Streptophyta; Magnoliopsida; Arecales; Arecaceae.
GGCACCCCAAUGGCUCCCAGCAACAGCUUUUUAGCCCUCAUCAUCUCGAUUUUUCUCUGAAUUUUUCAUCGUCUCUCAUCACCUCGCAACGCCUCCCUUGAUUUCUCCCUAUUCUGCUGUCCAUCGGUGAUUCUUUCUUAUUUUGGAUACCAAAAAUCAGAUUAAAAUCUGUCAAAAAGUCAAGUAAAUCUCUUCAAUCCUCCUCUUUCAAUCUACUAUGAAUUUUAAACUUAAUUUUUUGCCGAUUUAUUGUCAGAAAAAUUUUUGAAAUCCUAGUUCAGCAAGUUUCCCUAUUUUUUUAUUUUUUUUAUCUUUUCGGCACCGUUAGGCCGCCGUCGGUCACCGG